UGAUCGAAAAUAAAGGUAAUCGUUCUGCAUUUAUGCAGGAAGGAAAGUCCGAACUCCACAGAGCACGAUACCUGAUAACUUCAGGGGGUCAAUUGAUCCGCCCUAAGAUUUUUAUGCUGUGGCGGGUAUAAACAAUUGGCUACGGAAAGUGCCGCAGAAAAAAUACCGCCCCGAUUUUUAUCGGGUAAGGGUGAAAAGGCAGGGUAAGAGCCUACCGCUCUGACAGUAAUGUCAGGGGUUUCGUUCUGCAGAGUUUUUGCGAGCGAGAUUCUAUCAAAGUUUUUGAUGGAACCAGGUAAACCCUAUCGGGAGUAAGGUCAAAUAAGGAAGGAAGAAAAAUGAUUCGGUUCGAACAUAUUUCUGCGAGGUUGCUCGCUUUCGCUUUCACUUCCGGGUAGACCGCUCGAUUUCAUUGGCGACGAUGAAACUAGAUAAAUGAUUACCGUCCCGAUUUUCGUAGGAUUUUCGGGAAACAGAAUUCGGCUUACUUUUCGCUCGCUUC
This 502-nucleotide RNase P RNA is filed under the name Ignavibacteria bacterium. Its description in RNAcentral is "RNase P RNA component class A". It matches the Rfam family "Bacterial RNase P class A". Rfam says of the family: Ribonuclease P (RNase P) is a ubiquitous endoribonuclease, found in archaea, bacteria and eukarya as well as chloroplasts and mitochondria. Its best characterised activity is the generation of mature 5'-ends of tRNAs by cleaving the 5'-leader elements of precursor-tRNAs. Lineage: Bacteria; Pseudomonadati; Ignavibacteriota; Ignavibacteria. The record is from RNAcentral.